This 1004-nucleotide long non-coding RNA is filed under the name Struthio camelus australis. Its description in RNAcentral is "lncRNA (ENSSCUG00000009586.1)". The record is from RNAcentral. Lineage: Eukaryota; Metazoa; Chordata; Aves; Struthioniformes; Struthionidae.
GCCAGCUCCGGCGGGGAGGGGAGCGCGCAGGAAGAUUCACGCUUCCUUGAUUUCCUCUUUUGGAAAUCUGUAUUUUUAAUGUGCUCUUCUGCUUUCGGCUUCUGCCCAGAGCCGCGUGGAGCUCGGGUGGCCCCAGGGUACCUACCCAGGUGGGCAGCAAUAUACGCUGGCCUGCUGGACUUACGCUCCCACCUCGGACCAGGAGGAAGGAGAAAGCCCCCAACUCCCCAGUGCAAAACGCAGCCCUCCAUCUCUCCAGCUACUGAACCAACGCAACGAGCCGGCAGCAGCAUAAGGUCCUCAGUUUUGAAGAGGAAUACCCGCUCCAAGGAGCAGGACACGGGGAGUACUGCAGGCACGGUUUGCACAUCCAACACUGACGCACAGGACACACGAGCCCGUCCCUCCCUGGGCACCGGCACGCCUGUCCCUGCGUGCUUGCAUACAGACGAGAAGAAAUUCACGUCUCCUUCUCCUUCCAGCAACUUUGGAAAGGAAAACUCGGGUGCCCAUCUACACCAGGUACCACCCUGCUACUGCCACCCUCCUGUGCCUUUUGCUGCCCGGACCUCCAGCCACCUGAAAUCCUCCCUCUUUGACAAUCCCAUUGCAAGAGCUGGGAUUUUUAGUGCUUGGGAGAGCCCAAGGACUAAAGAGAGGAGAGGAGAGGAGAGGAGAUACCCUCUUUUAGUCAAGCCUAGUAGGGCAGAUUCAGAACUGAGCCACCUCCUCCUCCCCGCUCAUCUGCCUAUUUCCAAGCCUCUUGGCCCAGUCGGGCUAUGGUGCAAGAUCAGAGGGGAGGCAGGCAGGGACGGCCACCCAGAGCAGCGUCCUCCCGAGAACGACACACACGGGGAAGGGAUUCCUGUUUCUAGGGGCUAAACUGAGCCGUCAGUAUAAGUUCUUCCACCAUUGGAAAAGAGAGAGUAUCAGGAGAAAGCCAGGUGAAAUUCUUCCCUAGGUUUUUGCCCUUGCUUGGCCCUGCUCCACUCACUGGCGCAAAG